CGAACGCUGGCGGCGUGCUUAACACAUGCAAGUCGAACGGUGAAGCGCCUUCCUUUUUGGUGGGUGUGGAUGAGUGGCGAACGGGUGAGUAACACGUGAGUAACCUGCCCCCUUCUUCUGGAUAACCGCAUGAAAGUGUGGCUAAUACGGGAUAUUCUGGGUCUGUCGCAUGAUGGGUCUGGGAAAGAUAUUGUUUCGGUGGGGGAUGGGCUCGCGGCCUAUCAGCUUGCUGGUGGGGUGAUGGCCUACCAAGGCGGUGACGGGUAGCCGGCCUGAGAGGGUGGACGGUCACACUGGGACUGAGACACGGCCCAGACUCCUACGGGAGGCAGCAGUGGGGAAUAUUGCACAAUGGGCGCAAGCCUGAUGCAGCGACGCCGCGUGAGGGAUGGAGGCCUUCGGGUUGUGAACCUCUUUCGCCAGUGAAGCAGGCCUGCCUCGUUUGUGGGUGGGUUGACGGUAGCUGGAUAAGAAGCGCCGGCUAACUACGUG
Molecule: ribosomal RNA, 492 nt
Filed under: uncultured bacterium
Lineage: Bacteria
Description: partial 16S ribosomal RNA
Rfam family: Bacterial small subunit ribosomal RNA
Source: RNAcentral